CCUACGGGUGGCUGCAGUGAGGAAUAUUGGUCAAUGGGCGCGAGCCUGAACCAGCCAAGUAGCGUGAAGGAUGACUGCCCUACGGGUUGUAAACUUCUUUUAUAAAGGAAUAAAGUGAGGCACGUGUGCCUUUUUGUAUGUACUUUAUGAAUACGGAUCGGCUAACUCCGUGCCAGCAGCCGCGGUAAUACGGAGGAUCCGAGCGUUAUCCGGAUUCAGUGGGUUUAAAGGGAGCGUAGAUGGGUUGGUAAGUCAGUUGUGAAAGUUUGCGGCUCAACCGUAAAAUUGCAAUUGAUACUGGCAGUCUUGAGUACAGUUGAGGUAGGCGGAAUUCGUGGUGUAGCAGUGAAAUGCUUAGAUAGCGCGAAGAACUCCGAUUGCGAAGGCAGCUUACUAAACUGCCACUGACAUUGAUGCUCGAAAGUGUGGGUAUCAAACGGGAUUAGAUACCCUAGUAGUC
Molecule: ribosomal RNA, 460 nt
Filed under: uncultured bacterium
Lineage: Bacteria
Description: partial 16S ribosomal RNA
Rfam family: Bacterial small subunit ribosomal RNA
Source: RNAcentral